Long non-coding RNA from Dromaius novaehollandiae (emu), 1107 nucleotides. RefSeq lists it as uncharacterized. The record is from RefSeq and is a predicted model, not a curated record. The transcript has 4 exons. Lineage: Eukaryota; Metazoa; Chordata; Aves; Casuariiformes; Dromaiidae.
CGCCUUCCCCGCCCCCUGCGCGCGGCCUAUUUAAGGGGAUCACGCGAGCUUCCCUUCCUUUUCCGUGGGCGCGGCCUUGAGCGGCACUGCGGGCUCUGAGGCGCCGGGGGAGCGGGCGGCAGCGGCGUAGCCGCCGCUUCAGGGCUUCGCUCUUCGGGAGCAAAUGGAGAUGAAUUUGUUUCUGGUUUUGAGGAUCUUCAAUCUGGACUCUGCCAUGCUGUUGCUCUGCAAGCAGAAAGUCAUCACAUGAAUUCUCAGGUGACAGAUGUGAUAUAACAAUCUCCAUUGUCUCCACUUCUAGAAGCAUGGAUGUUUAAGAAGUGGAAAAUAGCAGCCUGAAGUGUGGAGUCCGGUGCACUUGGAAACACUUGCACAACCCUUCCUGCACCUCAGAAAUACUGCUUGAAUUCAGAUGUGGUUCAGGUUCAAACUUAUGACUUAACAUCAUGCUGAAAAAUGAAUUUUAGUAAACCAGAGGAGUCUUGGUGAAAAUGCGUGAAUAAGGCCUGAAUGAAGUCUUGGUGAGAGAAUAUCACUCUUUAGAGUGAAGCGACCCUACGGACACUAUGUCAGAACUUAAGAUGAGUAUUUGUAGAGUUUUUGCAGAAUACUCUGACUUGGUAAAGCUCUAAAGUAAUCCUCUUUUUUUCAAGCUUAUAUGAAAAUUCUUUUAAUAUUUGAUCAGAUACUUGCAAACUUGUCAAUUCAUUGCUUUACUGUUUGAAUGAUAUCCUCAAUGAGAACAAAUGAGUGAAUCUUGUGGAACAAAACCAAAUGAUACUGUCCAGACUCUUCAUAUGCAGAAUGGAUGAGAAGCUUAAUGAACUUUGCUUCCAAGUUGGAAUUACAGCACAGGAAUGAAUUUGACUUGGAUAAAUCAAAACAAAUCCCUUCUCUGGAAAGACAUGAUUCUGUUCAAAGUAGUUAUGUUGCAGCUGUGGCCUUGCCAAGUACUAGCUUUUUGCAAUGCUCGGAAUAAUGGAAAUAGCAUCUCUCUUGCAGUCUACACUGUCUAGCUUCCUUUUCAGUGUAGUAACUUCAUACUAAGUGUACCCCAUAAAUCAAAUUCAGUCGAAUCUGAAUACAUCACUUUCCUGUGUGUUUUAA